Non-coding RNA from Acanthosepion pharaonis, 98 nucleotides. Lineage: Eukaryota; Metazoa; Mollusca; Cephalopoda; Sepiida; Sepiidae. The record is from the annotation of a GenBank genome assembly.
AUUCAAACGCCGGUUCUCGUUCGAUCACAGAAGUUAAGCAGCGUCGAUCACGGUCAGUACUUAGAUGGGAGACAGCUAGCGAACAUAUGAUACUGUAA